AGAUUGAACGCUGGCGGAAUGCUUUACACAUGCAAGUCGAGCGGCAGCGCGGGGCAACCUGGCGGCGAGCGGCGAACGGGUGAGUAAUGCAUCGGAACAUGUCCAUUCGGUGGGGGGAUAGCCCGGCGAAAGCCGGAUCAAUACCGCAUACGCCGAGAGGGGAAAGCGGGGGACUCGCAAGACGCCUCGCGCGAAGUGGGUUGGCCGAUCGCCGUAUUAGCUAGGUUGGGCGGGUAAUCGGCCCACCAAGGCGAUGAUCGGUAGCUGGUCUGGAGAGGUAUGAUCACGCCACGUACGU
This 298-nucleotide ribosomal RNA is filed under the name uncultured soil bacterium. RNAcentral describes it as "partial 16S ribosomal RNA". It matches the Rfam family "Bacterial small subunit ribosomal RNA", at positions 26 to 317 of the family's 1533-position model. The record is from RNAcentral.